UGUAUGACUUAGUCAAGUCUAUGAGGAAAUUAUGUUUUAUUUUUUAUUUUAUUUUAUUGUGAAUUUUCAUAUUGACUACUGAAUGUUGUAUACAGUCGAUGCCUACGAGCCACAUCGGCAAAUAAAUAUAACAGCACAUCACUUUUAUUUUAGUAGCCUAUAUUACUUGCUUUUAAUAACAAAAGUCCAGCUGAUUUAAUGUGGUUAUCUUUUUUUUUAAGGUAAGUACAAUAAAAAUAGCAACUUAUUCCCUUUUUACCAGGAAACUCUCACAUUUGCGGACAUAUUUGAAGUGGUGCUUUGCAAUUUAUUUACUGUAAACACAAGUAUUUUAGCCAAAUAUAAUUUAUGCAAUGGCAAACCAGAAUGAAACAACAGCAGAUAUCAGCUCCCGCUAAAGCAAAAGACGACAACAUGCGUAGGCUACUGCGCAGGUGUAGAGCGCGCGGCCGUCUGCAGGCAACCCUGCAGAGGAGGUUUGCUGGAACGCGACCCUGAGGUGAAAUUUCUUUAAGAGGUUUUAAAAACUUUCUACACUGUGGAGUACGGCUGCGAGUGAUGUUAGCAGGAUCCGCAUGCUGGAUAAGAACAGCAUUUGUGAGACGAAAUCAACUCAUCAUCCGAGUGGACAAGAAGACCAACAGAGGAAGCCAGCCGCAAAAACAACGAAAAAUUGUCAUGACUUUAUUUGAAAUAAAAGUUAUGUGAUAAUAAACA
Misgurnus anguillicaudatus (oriental weatherfish) is the source of this 717-nucleotide non-coding RNA. The record is from RefSeq and is a predicted model, not a curated record. Lineage: Eukaryota; Metazoa; Chordata; Actinopteri; Cypriniformes; Cobitidae.